AGAGAUUUAGCUCAGUGGCAUAAGCGCCUGCCUUGCAAGCAGGCAGAAGUGAGUUCAAUCCCUG
Molecule: transfer RNA, 64 nt
Filed under: Cavia porcellus (domestic guinea pig)
Lineage: Eukaryota; Metazoa; Chordata; Mammalia; Rodentia; Caviidae
Rfam family: tRNA
About the family: Transfer RNA (tRNA) molecules are approximately 80 nucleotides in length.
Source: Rfam by way of RNAcentral